This 253-nucleotide ribosomal RNA is filed under the name uncultured bacterium. Its description in RNAcentral is "partial 16S ribosomal RNA". It matches the Rfam family "Bacterial small subunit ribosomal RNA", at positions 524 to 776 of the family's 1533-position model. The record is from RNAcentral.
UACGUAGGGGGCAAGCGUUGUCCGGAAUCAUUGGGCGUAAAGCGCGCGUAGGCGGCCCGGUAAGUCCGUUGUGAAAGUCAAAGGCUCAACCUUUGAACGCCGAUGGAUACUGCCGGGCUAGAGUCCGGAAGAGGCGAGUGGAAUUCCUGGUGUAGCGGUGGAAUGCGCAGAUAUCAGGAGGAACACCGAUGGCGAAGGCAGCUCACUGGGACGGUACUGACGCUGAGACGCGAAAGCGUGGGGAGCAAACAGG